Molecule: ribosomal RNA, 465 nt
Filed under: uncultured bacterium
Lineage: Bacteria
Description: partial 16S ribosomal RNA
Rfam family: Bacterial small subunit ribosomal RNA
Source: RNAcentral
GACGAACGCUGGCGGCGUGCUUAACACAUGCAAGUCGAACGGAAAGGCCCUGCUUGCAGGGUACUCGAGUGGCGAACGGGUGAGUAACACGUGGGUGAUCUGCCCUGCACUUCGGGAUAAGCCUGGGAAACUGGGUCUAAUACCGGAUAGGAGCCAUUUUUAGUGUGAUGGUUGGAAAGUUUUUUCGGUGUAGGAUGAGCUCGCGGCCUAUCAGCUUGUUGGUGGGGUAAUGGCCUACCAAGGCGGCGACGGGUAGCCGGCCUGAGAGGGUGGACGGCCACAUUGGGAUUGAGAUACGGCCCAGACUCCUACGGGAGGCAGCAGUGGGGAAUAUUGCACAAUGGGCGCAAGCCUGAUGCAGCGACGCCGCGUGGGGGAUGACGGCCUUCGGGUUGUAAACUCCUUUCGCUAGGGACGAAGCUUUUUGCGACGGUACCUAGAGAAGAAGCACCGGCUAACUACGUG